GAUGAACGCUGGCGGCGCGCCUAAUACAUGCAAGUCGAGCGAACGGACGAGAAGCUUGCUUCUCUGAUGUUAGCGGCGGACGGGUGAGUAACACGUGGAUAACCUACCUAUAAGACUGGGAUAACUUCGGGAAACCGGAGCUAAUACCGGAUGAUAUUUUGAACCGCAUGGUUCAAAAGUGAAAGACGGUCUUGCUGUCACUUAUAGAUGGAUCCGCGCUGCAUUAGCUAGUUGGUAAGGUAACGGCUUACCAAGGCAACGAUGCAUAGCCGACCUGAGAGGGUGAUCGGCCACACUGGAACUGAGACACGGUCCAGACUCCUACGGGAGGCAGCAGUAGGGAAUCUUCCGCAAUGGGCGAAAGCCUGACGGAGCAACGCCGCGUGAGUGAUGAAGGUCUUCGGAUCGUAAAACUCCGUUAUUAGGGAAGAACAUAUGUGUAAGUAACUGUGCACAUCUUGACGGUACCUAAUCAGAAAGCCACGGCUAACUACGUG
RNAcentral lists this ribosomal RNA (497 nucleotides) under uncultured bacterium. RNAcentral describes it as "partial 16S ribosomal RNA". It matches the Rfam family "Bacterial small subunit ribosomal RNA", at positions 28 to 507 of the family's 1533-position model. The record is from RNAcentral.